CUCCUACGGGAGGCAGCAGUGAGGAAUAUUGGUCAAUGGACGAGAGUCUGAACCAGCCAAGUAGCGUGCAGGAAGACGGCCCUAUGGGUUGUAAACUGCUUUUAUAAGGGAAUAAAGUGAGAGUCGUGACUCUUUUUGCAUGUACCUUAUGAAUAAGGACCGGCUAACUCCGUGCCAGCAGCCGCGGUAAUACGGAGGAUCCGAGCGUUAUCCGGAUUUAUUGGGUUUAAAGGGAGCGUAGGCGGACUAUUAAGUCAGCUGUGAAAGUUUGCGGCUCAACCGUAAAAUUGCAGUUGAUACUGGUCGUCUUGAGUGCAGUAGAGGUAGGCGGAAUUCGUGGUGUAGCGGUGAAAUGCUUAGAUAUCACGAAGAACUCCGAUUGCGAAGGCAGCUUACUGGACUGUAACUGACGCUGAUGCUCGAAAGUGUGGGUAUCAAACAGGAUUAGAUACCCUGGUAGUCCACACAGUAAACGAUGAAUACUCGCUGUUUGCGAUAUACAGCAAGCGGCCAAGCGAAAGCAUUAAGUAUUCCACCUGGGGAGUACGCCGGCAACGGUGAAACUCAAAGGAAUUGACGGGGGCCCGCACAAGCGGAGGAACGUGUGGUUUAAUUCGAUGAUACGCGAGGAACCUUACCCGGGCUUAAAUUGCAAAUGAAUAUAGUGGAAACAUUAUAGCCGCAAGGCAUUUGUGAAGGUGCUGCAUGGUUGUCGUCAGCUCGUGCCGUGAGGUGUCGGCUUAAGUGCCAUAACGAGCGCAACCCUUAUCUUUAGUUACUAACAGGUCAUGCUGAGGACUCUAGAGAGACUGCCGUCGUAAGAUGUGAGGAAGGUGGGGAUGACGUCAAAUCAGCACGGCCCUUACGUCCGGGGCUACACACGUGUUACAAUGGGGGGUACAGAAGGCAGCUACACAGCGAUGUGAUGCUAAUCCCAAAAGCCUCUCUCAGUUCGGAUUGGAGUCUGCAACCCGACUCCAUGAAGCUGGAUUCGCUAGUAAUCGCGCAUCAGCCACGGCGCGGUGAAUACGUUCCCGGGCCUUGUACACACCGC
This 1054-nucleotide ribosomal RNA is filed under the name uncultured bacterium. RNAcentral describes it as "bacterial SSU rRNA". It matches the Rfam family "Bacterial small subunit ribosomal RNA", at positions 336 to 1393 of the family's 1533-position model. The record is from RNAcentral.